GAUGAACGCUAGCGGCAGGCUUAAUACAUGCAAGUCGAACGGGAUUGAGAAGCUUGCUUUUCAUGAGAGUGGCGCACGGGUGCGUAACACGUAUGCAACCUACCUUGUCCAGGGGGAUAGCCCGUUGAAAGACGGAUUAAGACCGCAUAACAUUGAGCUGUGGCAUCACAAAUCAAUCAAAUAUUUAUAGGGACAAGAUGGGCAUGCGCCUGAUUAGGUAGUUGGCGGGGUAAUGGCCCACCAAGCCGACGAUCAGUAGGGGAUCUGAGAGGAUGACCCCCCACACUGGUACUGAGACACGGACCAGACUCCUACGGGAGGCAGCAGUAAGGAAUAUUGGUCAAUGGGCGAAAGCCUGAACCAGCCAUGCCGCGUGUCUGAAGAAGGCCUUCGGGUUGUAAAGGACUUUUGUCAGGGAGGAAAUCCCUAGUGCUAAUAACACUGGGGGAUGACAGUACCUGAAGAAUAAGCACCGGCUAACUACGUGCCAGCAGCCGCCGUAA
This 503-nucleotide ribosomal RNA is filed under the name uncultured bacterium. RNAcentral describes it as "partial 16S ribosomal RNA". It matches the Rfam family "Bacterial small subunit ribosomal RNA", at positions 28 to 523 of the family's 1533-position model. The record is from RNAcentral.